Molecule: unclassified non-coding RNA, 405 nt
Filed under: soil metagenome
Description: partial contains 5.8S ribosomal RNA, internal transcribed spacer 2, and large subunit ribosomal RNA
Rfam family: 5.8S ribosomal RNA (bases 1-121)
Source: RNAcentral
GAUGAAGAACGUAGCGAAAUGCGAUAAGUAAUGUGAAUUGCAGAAUUCAGUGAAUCAUCGAAUCUUUGAACGCACCUUGCGCCCUUUGGCCAUUCCGAAGGGCAUGCCUGUUUGAGUAUCAUGAACACCUCAACUCUUCAUGGUUUUCCAUGAUGAGCUUGGACUUUGGGGGUCUUGCUGGCCUGUGGGUCGGCUCCUCUCAAAUGAAUCAGCUUGCCAGUUUUUGGUGGGCAUCACAGGUGUGAUAACUAUCUACGCUUGUGGUUUUCCACCAGGGUAACCUUCAGCAGUGGAGGUUCACUGGAGCUUACAAAUGUCUCUCCUCUGUGAGGACAGCCCUUUGAAUGUUUGAUCUCAAAUCAGGUAGGACUACCCGCUGAACUUAAGCAUAUCAAUAAGCGGAGA